Long non-coding RNA from Lagenorhynchus albirostris (white-beaked dolphin), 300 nucleotides. RefSeq lists it as uncharacterized. NCBI's taxonomy places the organism in Eukaryota, Metazoa, Chordata, Mammalia, Artiodactyla, Delphinidae. The transcript has 3 exons. The record is from RefSeq and is a predicted model, not a curated record.
UGUCGGAGGCUUGGAGAAAAGGAGCCCUUGGAGGCAAAUCCUAUAGAAGUGAGAGCUGACUGAAGUAGGAACGAAGGAUGCAUCAGGGGAAACGUCAGAGGCACAAGGCCAGUGUAGAGAACACUGGAGCUGUGGUCAGGAAAUGUGCUACCUGUCCAGGCUUGGCCACACACUGGGGGACUCCAGGUUAUGUUCUAGGUCCUGGGAAAACAACGGUGUGGUAAGAUACAGCCCUGCCUGAAGGAGCAAACGAGAUACUGUUUUCCACAAUGGCUGCACCAACUUACAUUCCCACCAACA